AGCAACAGAUUUUUAAAUGCUCCAGUAUGAGGAUGUAGGGUAUGCGGGAAGUUUCCAAAGUAUACACACAUGGAUUUUUUGAGUAUUUUGCUAAAAACAAAUAUUUAUGCUGCGCCAACAAGAAAAACAUGCUUUAUUGGAGUGUAAAUUAUCAAGAACACCUAUAGAACAACAUUCGCGACGUCAUUACCAACAUACCGAUUUAUAGGCUGCGAAGUAUGCGCGAUGGGGGCUGCUAUUUACCCAAUGUCAUUUUCAAGACUGCAUGAAAAUAUAUGAGAUAUUGUAUUCUCAAAUUUAUUUAUUUGUUUAUUAUGCAAUUAUAAGCCACAAGUAAUCGAUUAACAAUAACAAUAUUCAGCAUGUAUAAUUAAAAACAAUUAAAAUAAUAACUGAA
Long non-coding RNA from Stomoxys calcitrans (stable fly), 397 nucleotides. RefSeq lists it as uncharacterized. The record is from RefSeq and is a predicted model, not a curated record. The transcript has 2 exons. Lineage: Eukaryota; Metazoa; Arthropoda; Insecta; Diptera; Muscidae.